This 491-nucleotide ribosomal RNA is filed under the name uncultured Bacillota bacterium. RNAcentral describes it as "bacterial SSU rRNA". It matches the Rfam family "Bacterial small subunit ribosomal RNA", at positions 413 to 916 of the family's 1533-position model. Lineage: Bacteria; Bacillati; Bacillota. The record is from RNAcentral.
GGCCUUCGGGUUGUAAAACUCUGUCUUCAGGGAAGAAAAAAAUGACGGUACCUGAGGAGGAAGCCACGGCUAACUACGUGCCAGCAGCCGCGGUAAUACGUAGGUGGCAAGCGUUGUCCGGAAUUACUGGGCGUAAAGAGCGCGUAGGCGGGGAUUUAAGUCAGGAGUGAAAACUGGCGGCUCAACUGCCAGCCUGCUCUUGAAACUGGAUCUCUUGAGGGUAUGAGAGGAAAGCGGAAUUCCCAGUGUAGCGGUGAAAUGCGUAGAUAUUGGGAGGAACACCAGUGGCGAAGGCGGCUUUCUGGCAUACAACUGACGCUGAGGCGCGAAAGCGUGGGGAGCAAACGGGAUUAGAUACCCCGGUAGUCCACGCCGUAAACGAUGGGCACUAGGUGUAGGAGGUAUCGACCCCUUCUGUGCCGUAGUUAACACAAUAAGUGCCCCGCCUGGGGAGUACGGCCGCAAGGUUGAAACUCAAAUGAAAUUGACGG